This is a long non-coding RNA of Leopardus geoffroyi (Geoffroy's cat), 1335 nucleotides long. RefSeq lists it as uncharacterized. Lineage: Eukaryota; Metazoa; Chordata; Mammalia; Carnivora; Felidae. The record is from RefSeq and is a predicted model, not a curated record. The transcript is spliced from 2 exons.
AUGAGGGAAAAUGAUCUACCUAGGAAGUGUAUCAUCCCAUUAUAGAUUAAAUGUGAGUAAAGAAUAAAGACAUACUCAGAUUGCAAUUUAGAAUAAGAGUACUUCCAAAUACUUUUCCAGGAUUUAUGGUACUACUUUUUUCCACCAAACUUAGAGGAGAGACAAAAUGAAAGAAGGCAGAAGAUAAAGGAAACAGCCACACCAACAAAGGAGACAGGAGAAGGAGAGGCCCAGGAUGAUAUGGGAAAGCUCCAGAUAACAUAGCUAUAGUGGGCAAAGAAGACAACCGGUCCACAUUGGGAUAGGAAAAUGGAGGACCACAGAAGAUAUUUCUCCAAGAAGUCAAAACUGAUAGAAUAUCUCAUAUGUUGGAAAAUAUUAAGGGGAUGUUGACACUUUUGAGACAGUGUUCUGGGUUGAUUUUGUUCUGGGGAUACAGGAAACUAAGCAAGCAAAAAAUUAAGAAAAAUUAGUAAUGCUAGGGGAAGCAACAUUGUACAAGAAAGGAUAUAUAAUCAUAGUAGUCUGCAUGGCUCAGCUGCACAUAACAUUUGGUAUUAUCAUGAAAAUGUGAAGACUAAAUACACCGCCAAGAAAAAUCAUCCUAUAUCUAUAUUGAGAGAGCAGAUGGGAAAUACAUGUAGGGAGGGAGGAUAUGAGAACGAAAUCUUUCACAGUCGGAAGUUAAUGGAAAAUGUUUAACUUCAUUAAAAAAAAAAAAAACACAUGUUUUGUAUUGUCUACACUUAGUUUGUCUAAUGUUCACUUCCCUUUAAUGACCACCUCAACACUGAAAUCUGGCUUCCACACUUGUCAAUAGCAAAUAUCACCGAUGACCUUUUUAUUGCUUAGGCCAAAGGACAUGGAAACUUUGUAGCUUUUGUGUGUCUUCUCCACAGCCAUUUCUCUGUAGACCUGAGCUCCAGUUGCAAACAGGCAAGGGCCCUCUUAACAUGUUAUGGAUGUCCCAGAGACUCCUUGAGACCAAUGGGUCAGAACCUGGACUCCCUGAUCAAAACCCAAUCCCCAUCCCCCACUCCCAGAUCCCCUACUCCUUAUCUCAUAGUCCCAGGCGUAGUUAAUAACACCAUCAUUCAAAGCAUUAUGGAGCAGACCAGACCAAGGGCUGAUCAGAGGGAAAAAACCUAUUGUAAUGGCUAAAAGCUUAUUGGAAACAAAGAAAACCCACAUCUAUCAGAUUUCCUCUCAGAGGGACAUGUCAAAUAAACCUUUUUCAGUCGAAGGUGGAAGAAGCAAGUUUGAAGCCAGAGGACAGGAGAGGAGAGGCUGAGGACGUUUGCGAGGUGCUAUGUCAAAUAGAUCUGUUUGAUAGGG